CACCAGAUGCUGCCACUUACAACAGAACAUGAGUCUCAUCCCUGUGGACUGCAGCCAGUCGAGUUCCAACUCGUUCCAUGCACCCCCAAUAGCGGACAGGGAUGGCCAAGCCUGGAGUCACUGGCAGUAAAAGCUCAGCAUCCUUGUCCUGCCUCCCAUCCUGUGCAAGAGUCCCUGGGAGCAGGACUCCACCAUUGCCUGUGGGGAGGCCCCUUGUCUUAACUGUGCAAUGCUGCGUGAAUAACGAGAUGCCCCGGGAAUGCUGCUCAGCCCUGUCUUCCAACUGUUUGAGGAAGUGACUUUUCUACUAUCCGGAGAAUUCAAAAAAUGCACUGGGACGGCCCCAGCUGCCAGCUCUGGGCUCCAGGAGGGGCAUCGUCUUACAGAUCCGGCUGGUCCCAAGGGAAGUUGGGGUACCAGCACCUGACGUGGGACUCACUUGUUUGUCUGUUUCCCCUAAAUACAUCCCUUUGGGGAAUGCGCAGGGCCCGCAGCACCGCGCUCCUUCACAAUUGAGGGAACGGGGCGGGAGGAGGAUGCUGGAGCACUGAAGUCAGAGCCAGGCUCUGGCGUCUGAGUCAUGGAUUUGCCACUUCCUCAGCCUUGUGACCUUUGGAGAAUUGCUCUUCCCUAAACCUCCCUCACAGGAUGUUUGUGAUGCUAAAGCUGGCGAAGCACACGCAGGCGCAGCAUAACACCCGGCACGUAGUGAGCCCUCUGUAAGGUCAACAGCUGCCAUCAUCACUUAAUACUGACCAGCACGAGACGGCCAAGCCAGCGGCGGCAGAGUUGGAACGCGAACCAAGGUCUUGGCAUCUUCCCUCCGCAGCGGACACUGCUCACGGCAACUCUGCCUCCUCUGAGAAGGGUAACUGGGAGCCUAAACAGCUAUGUCAUACUGGAAGUUCCAUCCACAAAGCUUCAGUUGGGACAAGCCCUGCCUUCCUUUAAAAAGCAAGGUCCCGGGCCAGGCACAGUGGCUCACACCUAUAACCCCAGCACUUUGGGAGGCUGAGGUGGGCCGAUCACUUGAGCCCAGGAGUUCAAGUCCAGCCUGGGCAACAUGAAUUGCAUCUCUUAGCCACAAAGAAAGGCGGCCUUAGAUCUAACCUAGAUGUGAAACGACAGCCCUGCAUCAGAACCACCGUCAUGGGCUCCAGAAGCAGUUCCCACUUCCUGUCUGCAAGAUCCUGGCCAAGUUGCUUCACUUCUCUGAAGCUAUUUCCUCAUCUCUAAAGUGGGGGCUCACAGAGUUGUGAGCCAGGCACAGUGGCUCAUGCCUGUAAUCCCAGCACUUUGGGAGGCCAAGGUAGGUGGAUUGCUUGAGCUCAGGAGUUGAGACCAGCCUGGGCCAAUACAACGAAACACUGUCUCCAUAAAAAAUACACAAAACUAGCCAGGCCUGGUGGCACACGCAUGUAGUCCCACCUACUCAGGAGGCUGAAUUAGGAGGACUGCUUGAGUCCGGGGAGGUGGUGUUGCAGUGAGCUGAGAUUGCACCACUGCUCUCCAGCCUGGACAACAGAGUAAGACCCUGCCUCAAUAAACAAAGAAAAUUAUAGGACCAAGAGGUCUGAGUCACAGGUUACAAAGAGAAAACAAAAAAACAAAGAGGUUGCAGUGAGCUGAGACCACACCACCGCACCCCAGCCUGGGUGACGGAGAGAGGUGCUGUCUUAAAACUAGGGUUUUGAAAAUUCAUAAGACCUGAUACUUUGAGUAUCAUAGAGGCUCAAGCCAUAAAAUGCAGUGUCGAUUGUUACUAUUUUGAUUAAUGCUGUUUGGCUUUGAGGAGGAAGUGUUUGUAGAAAAAAAAGAGGUGCCUGGACCCAACAGGAAUAUGUUGCUAGGCUGGGCAAAGGCUGCUGGGCUAUUUAUGAGGCUGGCUUAUCGGCUGUGCUGGAGUAGCUGCACUCAAACCUGGGGCCGCUGAUAACUCACUGAUCAGUGAACAGCAAUCGACCGAGUGCUGCCUCAACCGGCUCUAAGAAAUGCUCCAAGCACACUCUCCCAAAUGCUAGACUGUGAUUCGAUCAUUUCACAGAGGCUUGGGAGAUUUUUUUUUUCCCUUCCUCGGAAUUUCUGGGCUCCACCCCAGAGCGUGGUCUGGAAGGCAUUGAGGACUUGUGUUUCUGUAGUCCCCUGUGAUUCUGACGAAGCUGACCCUCCGGCUGAGCUUGUAGAAACACUAGGCAUGGCUCCAGGUUGGAGAUUAGGGCUGGACAGAUGCAGCUGCUCUGUCCUCCUGGUGGAUUCGGCCCAAUAGCUGGGGCCUCUCUGGACAACAGCUGUCGAUACUGGCAUGGGGUGGAACGCCCUGGGUAGGAGUCUUCUCCGAGGUCACCGGAUUUAUAAUUACUUGUAUUGGCGAAUCCCACAAAGGCUGAUGGGUGGGGGAUUGAUUUUCCCUAUGAGGUUGGGGGAUGGUGAUGGGGAUGGGGGUUGGGAAGGGAGAGAUUCCAACAGGUGGUCACCUCCCCAGAUGAAAUUCUUCAUCUUAUGGCUUAAGAGACUGAUUUUAUAUAGAUAGAUAGAUAGAUAGGGUCUCAUGAUGUUGCCCAGGCUGGUCUCCAACUCCUGGGCUCAAGCAAUCCUUUGGCCUCAGCCUCCCAGAUGGCCUCAGCCUCCCUCUCUCAGCUGAGACUGACUCAUUUUAAUGACAAAUAAACAAAAUCACAGCAUAUUAGCAUGAAAGAGAA
Molecule: non-coding RNA, 2699 nt
Organism: Callithrix jacchus (white-tufted-ear marmoset)
Lineage: Eukaryota; Metazoa; Chordata; Mammalia; Primates; Cebidae
Source: RefSeq, a predicted model, not a curated record